AAUUCUUUGAGCCCUGUCGCCAUCCUCUUCCUCCGCCCCUCCCUCCCCCCACCACCCCUGCCUCGCCCAUCCUCUGCAAAGUUGCACCGUCGCCGUCGACCCUCCCUCUGUCUAGAACCCCCUCCAUUCCUUUACAUUUCUCCCAAAAUGUAAAUCAGCGACUUGCAAUAGAAAGAAUCCAAGCGUACAGACAUGGCUCGUACCAAAUGGGGUUUCUGUGUUUGAGCAGGCGACUCAAAGCUGUUGCUUUCUACUAAGAGAGGGUUGCAUGGGAUUUCACCAUGACAUAUAUAGCAUUUGCUUUCUCUUGUAAUCUUGAGAGCUCUUUUAUAUCAGAUAUCACAAUUGACGAUGUGAAAGAGGCUGCAUUUGAACUCAUUUCAAGUGGUCUUGUGCCCAUUCACUCUAAUCUCUAUGUUCCUUGCUGGAUAUCUAGAUUUGUGUGAAAGACUCAUCUUAAAUGGGAGUUUAAAUGAGGUAACUCACGUUCAGUUUGCUUUUAGUUGCUAGUAUUGGUAGAACAGAUACAACUUGAUUAUGGGGUUGCUGGCUAGAGUUCUUUGAAGUUUUGACCACCAGCAGACUAAAAGGUGCAGUGACACGGGGGAUAUCGUUCAGAAGCAUACAAGAAAAAAUGUAGUUUGGAAGAGGUGGGAUGACUUGUUGCGAUGCGAGUAUGAAGUUCGGAAAAAGGAAACUAAAGUAAGAGAGAGAGGCAAAUCUUUAGAAGUGAAAUAAAAAAUUAUUGUGUUUGUAUUGAGUUGUAUCAAUUGUAAUAGUUUUUGCAUGGUUUGAAUAAACUGUAACAUGUAAAUAACUCGGUAGCAUCUACUUUGUAUAUAUCAAAUGUACAGCCCACUAUGUAAUGGUACCUACCCUUAAAUAGUUUUGCCAGCCAGUCCUCAGUAAUAGAGCUGGUGUUGAUUUAUUUUUGUACUUCUGGUUUGAGUUUGACGAAACAAUAGAAACAUUGGAAUAUUAUUAAAAUAAAAUAUCCUUGCUUGAUUGUUA
Long non-coding RNA from Juglans regia (Persian walnut), 1011 nucleotides. RefSeq lists it as uncharacterized. The record is from RefSeq and is a predicted model, not a curated record. The transcript is spliced from 3 exons. NCBI's taxonomy places the organism in Eukaryota, Viridiplantae, Streptophyta, Magnoliopsida, Fagales, Juglandaceae.